Molecule: ribosomal RNA, 396 nt
Filed under: uncultured bacterium
Lineage: Bacteria
Description: partial 16S ribosomal RNA
Rfam family: Bacterial small subunit ribosomal RNA
Source: RNAcentral
AUACGUAGGGAGCGAGCGUUGUCCGGAAUUACUGGGUGUAAAGGGAGCGUAGGCGGGAGUGCAAGUCAGAUGUGAAAUACAUGGGCUCAACCCAUGGGCUGCAUUUGAAACUGCAUUUCUUGAGUGAAGUAGUGGUAAGCGGAAUUCCUGGUGUAGCGGUGAAAUGCGUAGAUAUCAGGAGGAACACCGGUGGCGAAGGCGGCUUACUGGGCUUUUACUGACGCUGAGGCUCGAAAGCGUGGGGAGCAAACAGGAUUAGAUACCCUGCUAGUCCACGCUGUAAACGAUGAUUACUAGGUGUGGGGGGACUGACCCCUUCCGUGCCGCAGUUAACACAAUAAGUAUUCCGCCUGGGGAGUACGGCCGCAAGGUUGAAACUCAAAUGAAUUGGCGGGG